RNAcentral lists this transfer RNA (68 nucleotides) under Haematopota turkestanica. RNAcentral's name for it is "tRNA-Phe". It matches the Rfam family "tRNA". From Rfam's summary of the family: Transfer RNA (tRNA) molecules are approximately 80 nucleotides in length. The record is from RNAcentral. Lineage: Eukaryota; Metazoa; Arthropoda; Insecta; Diptera; Tabanidae.
ACUUAAAUAGCUUAAAAAUUAGAGCAUAACAUUGAAGAUGUUAGGGUGAUAGUAAAUAUCUUUAAGUA